Molecule: transfer RNA, 75 nt
Filed under: Candidatus Omnitrophota bacterium
Lineage: Bacteria; Pseudomonadati; Candidatus Omnitrophota
Description: tRNA-Arg
Rfam family: tRNA
About the family: Transfer RNA (tRNA) molecules are approximately 80 nucleotides in length.
Source: RNAcentral
GCGCCUGUGGCCCAAUGGAUAGGGCAUCAGCCUCCGAAGCUGUUGGUACAGGUUCGACUCCUGUCAGGCGCACCA